RNAcentral lists this unclassified non-coding RNA (298 nucleotides) under uncultured Tulasnellaceae. RNAcentral describes it as "sequence contains ITS2". Lineage: Eukaryota; Fungi; Basidiomycota; Agaricomycetes; Cantharellales; Tulasnellaceae. The record is from RNAcentral.
AACGCAUUGCAUCGAGCUUUGCCCAAGCACGAUAUGCCCCAUUGAGCGUCCUUAAGUCUUUAGGAAUGUUUAUUCAUUACUAAGUUCGGGUUUCAUGGCGUCACCGUCACGUUACCUUAGAUGCAUUACGCGUCGCACUCCGGUUGCGCUCCUUGUUGUACACUUCAAGGCGUUUCCUAAUGCGUUAUCGCACUUACGCUCGACACCUUUGGUGAAGAGCAGAACCGUGUUCCGUCCUCGGAUGGUCCACCCUUCCUUGACUUAACCUCACGGGGGCAAGACGACCCGCUAGACUUAA